Pelobates cultripes (western spadefoot toad) is the source of this 295-nucleotide non-coding RNA. Lineage: Eukaryota; Metazoa; Chordata; Amphibia; Anura; Pelobatidae. The record is from the annotation of a GenBank genome assembly.
CUGUGUUUGUAUGCAUAAGGGAUGCAAGGUGUGUGUCUGUAGUGUGUGUGUGUGUGUGUGUGUGUAUGAAAUGCAUUGUGUUUCUGUGUAUAUGUAAGAGAAGCAGUGUGUCUGUUUGCAUUGUGUGUUUCUGUGUGUGUGCAAAGGAUGCAUUGUCUUUGUGUGUAAUGGAUGCAUUGUGUGUUUCUCUGUGUGUGUAGGGAUGCAUUGUGUGUUUGUGUUUGUGUAUGUAUAGGGAUGCAGUGUGUGUGUGUGUGUGUGUGUGUGUGCGCGCGUAGUGUGAAAGAGCUCCCUG